Molecule: ribosomal RNA, 492 nt
Filed under: uncultured bacterium
Lineage: Bacteria
Description: partial 16S ribosomal RNA
Rfam family: Bacterial small subunit ribosomal RNA
Source: RNAcentral
AUUGAACGCUGGCGGCAUGCUUUACACAUGCAAGUCGAACGGUAACAGGCCUUCGGGUGCUGACGAGUGGCGAACGGGUGAGUAAUGCAUCGGAACGUACCCAGAGGUGGGGGAUAACGCAGCGAAAGCUGUGCUAAUACCGCAUGUGAUCUGAGGAUGAAAGCGGGGGACCGAGCAGCAAUGUUUGGCCUCGCGCCUUUGGAGCGGCCGAUGUCGGAUUAGCUAGUUGGUGGGGUACAGGCCAACCAAGGCGACGAUCCGUAGCUGGUCUGAGAGGACGACCAGCCACACUGGGACUGAGACACGGCCCAGACUCCUACGGGAGGCAGCAGUGGGGAAUUUUGGAUAAUGGGCGCAAGCCUGAUCCAGCAAUGCCGCGUGCGGGAAGAAGGCCUUCGGGUUGUAAACCGCUUUUGGCAGGAACGAAACGGUGUCCGCUAAUACCGGGCGCUAAUGACGGUACCUGCAGAAUAAGCACCGGCUAACUACGUG